AUAGAGGCCUACCAUGGUGGUAACGGGUAACGGGGUGUUAGGGCACGACACCGGAGAGGGAGCCUGAGAAACGGCUACCACAUCCAAGGAUGGCAGCAGGCGCGCAAAUUACCCAAUCCCGACACGGGGAGGUAGUGACAAUAAAUAACAAUACGGGGUUCUUUAGGAUCUCGUAAUUGGAAUGAGUACAAUUUAAAUCUCUUAACGAGGAACAAUUGGAGGGCAAGUCUGGUGCCAGCAGCCGCGGUAAUUCCAGCUCCAAUAGCGUAUAUUAAAGUUGUUGCAGUUAAAAAGCUCGUAGUUGAAUUUCGGGGUUAGUAGGUUGGUCAUGCCUCUGGCAUGUACUGGUCUCACUGAUUCCUCCUUCCUUAUGAACCGUAAUGCCAUUAAUUUGGGGUUGCGGGGAAUUUGGACUGUUACUUUGAAAAAAUUAGAGUGUUUAAAGCAAGCUAACGCUUGAAUACAUUAGCANNUGGAAUAAUGAAAUAGGACGUUCGAUCUUAUUUUGUUGGUUUCUAGGAUUGACGUAAUGAUUAAUAGGGAUAGUUGGGGGCAUUAGUAUUCAAUUGUCAGAGGUGAAAUUCUUGGAUUUAUUGAAGACUAACUACUGCGAAAGCAUUUGCCAAGGAUGUUUUCAUUAAUCAAGAACGAAAGUUAGGGGAUCGAAGACGAUCAGAUACCGUCGUAGUCUUAACCAUAAACUAUGCCGACUAGGGAUCGGAUGAUGUAAU
RNAcentral lists this ribosomal RNA (731 nucleotides) under uncultured fungus. RNAcentral's name for it is "SSU rRNA". It matches the Rfam family "Eukaryotic small subunit ribosomal RNA", at positions 333 to 1066 of the family's 1831-position model. The record is from RNAcentral. Lineage: Eukaryota; Fungi.